RNAcentral lists this ribosomal RNA (480 nucleotides) under uncultured bacterium. Its description in RNAcentral is "partial 16S ribosomal RNA". It matches the Rfam family "Bacterial small subunit ribosomal RNA", at positions 28 to 507 of the family's 1533-position model. The record is from RNAcentral.
GAUGAACGCUAGCGGCAGGCCUAACACAUGCAAGUCGAGGGAGAGGUUACCUUCGGGUCCCCAACACCGGCGCACGGGUGCGUAACGCGUAUACAAUCUGCCUUUCACAUAGGGAUAGCCCGAAGAAAUUUGGAUUAAUACCUAAUGGUAUAUAAGAGCGGCAUCGUUUUUAUAUUAAAGCUACGGUGGUGAAAGAUGAGUAUGCGUUCUAUUAGCUAGUUGGAGAGGUAACGGCUCCCCAAGGCGACGAUAGAUAGGGGUUCUGAGAGGGAUGUCCCCCACACUGGUACUGAGAUACGGACCAGACUCCUCCGGGAGGCAGCAGUGAGGAAUAUUGGACAAUGGUCGGAAGACUGAUCCAGCCAUGCCGCGUGCAGGAUGAAGGUCCUAUGGAUUGUAAACUGCUUUUGUAAGGGAAGAAUAAGGAGUACGUGUACUUUGAUGACGGUACCUUACGAAUAAGCAUCGGCUAACUCCGUG